UAUUUAUUUAUUUAUUUUUUUAAUCAAGAUCUCUGUUUUGAUUUUUAUUAAAUUUGUUGGUUAUGCCUUCUUCUUAGCAUUGCUUUGAAGCACAAAUAUUGCGGUAUCCUUAAAGAUCAUGUAGGUGACAAUUAAAUAGCAUCUAAUUCUUUGGAGCCAUCUUGUAGAAUUAUUUAUUUAUUUUUAUGUUAAUUGUGCUAUUUUAAACAUGGUAUCAAUUCAAUAAGUAAGCAAUUAAGAAAAAGAAAAAAAAAAGGAGCAUGUCAUUGUCACUUGACAGUUUUGUGUCGUCUGAGGCCCUUAAUAUGGUUAAUAGCAAAGAAAAUGGCCAUUUUGUGGUGUCACUUGAAAACUGUCUCCUCAUAGUAAAGGCCAAAGGUGAAGACUGUAUCUUGAUCUCAUAUUCCGGAAUCCUGUUUGGCUAGUUUCAAUUCGUUGAAUUCCCCUUUUCAUAUGGAAUAUGAUAAUAGUUUGUCUGCAUCAUUUCAUUGGUGAUUUUGACACAGAAUUUUAUUAUUUCUUUGAAGUUUUCUGUUCUGGCAUUGGCAUUUCCAGAUGUUCUUGCCAAAGUGAUUAAGAAAAUUUAUGGAUAGUUGAAUUUGAUUCUCAAAGCCUGAAAAUUUUCUACGUUCUUCCCCUUUUAACCAUGCGCAGCACUUGUGUUGAUGGAAUAUCUG
Molecule: unclassified non-coding RNA, 677 nt
Filed under: Hevea brasiliensis (rubber tree)
Lineage: Eukaryota; Viridiplantae; Streptophyta; Magnoliopsida; Malpighiales; Euphorbiaceae
Source: RNAcentral